Molecule: ribosomal RNA, 465 nt
Filed under: uncultured bacterium
Lineage: Bacteria
Description: partial 16S ribosomal RNA
Rfam family: Bacterial small subunit ribosomal RNA
Source: RNAcentral
CCUACGGGAGGCAGCAGUGGGGAAUAUUGCGCAAUGGGCGAAAGCCUGACGCAGCGACGCCGCGUGAGGGAUGAAGGUCUUCGGAUCGUAAACCUCUGUCAGCAGGGAAGAACGGUCACUGUGCUAAUCAGCAGUGAAUUGACGGUACCUGCAAAGGAAGCACCGGCUAACUCCGUGCCAGCAGCCGCGGUAAUACGGAGGGUGCGAGCGUUAAUCGGAAUUACUGGGCGUAAAGCGCUCGUAGGCGGUAUGUCAAGUCUAGGGGGAAAUCCACGCGCUCAACGUGGGAACUGCCUUUGAAACUGGCAGACUGGAGUGUGUGAGAGGAUAGUGGAAUGCCAGGUGUAGGAGUGAAAUGCGUAGAUAUCUGGCGGAACAUCAGUGGCGAAGGCGACUAACUGGCACAUAACUGACGCUGAGGAGCGAAAGCGUGGGUAGCAAACAGGAUUAGAUACCCUGGUAGUC